This 696-nucleotide ribosomal RNA is filed under the name uncultured bacterium. RNAcentral describes it as "bacterial SSU rRNA". It matches the Rfam family "Bacterial small subunit ribosomal RNA", at positions 32 to 715 of the family's 1533-position model. The record is from RNAcentral.
AACGCUAGCUACAGGCUUAACACAUGCAAGUCGAGGGGAAACGAUAUUGGAAGCUUGCUUCCGAUAGGCGUCGACCGGCGCACGGGUGAGUAACGCGUAUCCAACCUGCCCACCACUUGGGGAUAACCUUGCGAAAGUAAGACUAAUACCCAAUGACGUCUCUAGAAGACAUCUGAAAGGGAUUAAAGAUUUAUCGGUGAUGGAUGGGGGUGCGUCUGAUUAGCUUGUUGGCGGGGUAACGGCCCACCAAGGCGACGAUCAGUAGGGGUUCUGAGAGGAAGGUCCCCCACAUUGGAACUGAGACACGGUCCAAACUCCUACGGGAGGCAGCAGUGAGGAAUAUUGGUCAAUGGACGAGAGUCUGAACCAGCCAAGUAGCGUGCAGGAAGACGGCCCUAUGGGUUGUAAACUGCUUUUAUAAGGGAAUAAAGUGAGUCUCGUGAGACUUUUUGCAUGUACCUUAUGAAUAAGGACCGGCUAAUUCCGUGCCAGCAGCCGCGGUAAUACGGAAGGUCCGGGCGUUAUCCGGAUUUAUUGGGUUUAAAGGGAGCGUAGGCCGGAGAUUAAGCGUGUUGUGAAAUGUAGACGCUCAACGUCUGCACUGCAGCGCGAACUGGUUUCCUUGAGUACGCACAAAGUGGGCGGAAUUCGUGGUGUAGCGGUGAAAUGCUUAGAUAUCACGAAGAACUCCGAUUG